UACGAAGGGGGCUAGCGUUGCUCGGAAUUACUGGGCGUAAAGCGCACGUAGGCGGCUUUGUAAGUAAGAGGUGAAAGCCCAGAGCUCAACUCUGGAAUUGCCUUUUAGACUGCAUCGCUUGAAUCAUGGAGAGGUCAGUGGAAUUCCGAGUGUAGAGGUGAAAUUCGUAGAUAUUCGGAAGAACACCAGUGGCGAAGGCGGCUGACUGGACAUGUAUUGACGCUGAGGUGCGAAAGCGUGGGGAGCAAACAGG
Molecule: ribosomal RNA, 253 nt
Filed under: uncultured bacterium
Lineage: Bacteria
Description: partial 16S ribosomal RNA
Rfam family: Bacterial small subunit ribosomal RNA
Source: RNAcentral